UUUUGCUAAAUAGAGGGUCUCGAUUUUAUCUACCAUUUCUUUCCUUUUUCUUUGAAACCUUUAAGCCUGGGUCCUUAUUUGCUAAUAAGGGUUCGUUCUUGUUUCAUUGGAAACCAUUUAUCCCCAUUUUUCUUCCUAAAUCAUUUAAAACCAAUAUAACUCAUCUUAUUGAAUUCGAACUAAAUCGACACUACCUAAAUUCGAUCGGGAACAUAAUACGACUCGUCACAUCAUCCGAAUCGAGCUCGUAUCAGUUGGUAUCAGAGCUGGUUAAUUUAGGUACGUAAAUUGUAGUUUCGAAAAAAAAUCAAGAAAAAAAAAUCGAAAAGAAAAAAAAUUUGAAAAAAAAAUUGCAUACGGUCUAGGUGCAGACGAAAAGACGUGAAAGAUCCGUAAAAAAAAGAGUCUGGAGACAUUUCAAUAGAAAUUUUUCCAAAAUCUCAUCCUACACUCUUUUAUAUCCCCCGUAGUGAAAUUUCACGCAAUUGAAAAAAAAAAUUCGAAAGAAAAAAACAAAAUUGAAAGAAAAAAAUUGUAUAC
This 540-nucleotide long non-coding RNA is filed under the name Gossypium raimondii (Peruvian cotton). RNAcentral's name for it is "long non-coding RNA (GRAI_LNC009300)". The record is from RNAcentral. Lineage: Eukaryota; Viridiplantae; Streptophyta; Magnoliopsida; Malvales; Malvaceae.